This 882-nucleotide long non-coding RNA is filed under the name Astyanax mexicanus (Mexican tetra). RNAcentral's name for it is "lncRNA (ENSAMXG00005017398.1)". The record is from RNAcentral. Lineage: Eukaryota; Metazoa; Chordata; Actinopteri; Characiformes; Acestrorhamphidae.
UGCUCUCUGUUUCUUUUCAAAGGCUGCAGAAGUAAAGACUAUGUAAACAUGGACAUUACUGCAUACGUCGGAGACUCUUUACUGCUGCCUUGCUCCUGUGAUGGCUUUUCUAAACAUGCUCAUAGAUUUCGCUGGAGUAUAGAUUACAUAAGCGGUGGCUCAGCAUACAUAAGUUCGGAUGGUUUAAACAAAAUUAGAAGACCAGUUCAGCUGUUUAACAAUCACUCUCCAGGGAAUCUCUCUGUAUUAAUACCACACCUUACUGAAGAGGAUGGAGGAGAGUACAUGUGUAAUGUCAGGGAAUAUGACAUGGUCAUGAUUCGGGCAAUUUUAAAAGUGACUGUCAUCCCAAAACCAACAACCACAACCAUCCAACCAACAACUUCAUAUGUUGGUGCAGCUCCACAUGUGAACCAGUCUCUGACCUACUUCCCCUUUGCUUUGGUGGCUACUUUUAUAUUCCACAUUGUGUUUGCCGUACGGUUUCUUUUCAAGAAGCGCAAAGGUAUUGUGCAAAUCAAUCAACCAGAACGUUUUCACUUUUGAGUAUGUGUGUGAAUAUUUUCUUAUAUUUACACACACACACACACACACACACACAUACACACACACACACACAUAUUUCUUAUAUAUGUAUAUAUUUACAGCUUUUGCCCUCUAUCUCUUUAUCUUUGCUUCAGAUCCUGCCAGAGUGCAAUACAGCACUGCCAAUCAGGAAGAAACAGUAAGUCUGUAGAAGAAGAAAAGCAGCGCCCAUAAAGAGACCACCUACUAACCUACUAUGCGCUUUAUAAUAGCAAAUGUACUGUAGAUCAUGAAAAGUCAAUGUAAACCCAUUUUAUUUCCACUUUGAACAAAUUCUGUCACUUAUUUUGAUAUCAG